This 73-nucleotide transfer RNA is filed under the name Rattus norvegicus (Norway rat). It matches the Rfam family "tRNA". From Rfam's summary of the family: Transfer RNA (tRNA) molecules are approximately 80 nucleotides in length. Their secondary structure includes four short double-helical elements and three loops (D, anti-codon, and T loops). The record is from Rfam by way of RNAcentral. Lineage: Eukaryota; Metazoa; Chordata; Mammalia; Rodentia; Muridae.
GGGGAUGUGGCUCAGGUUGUAGAGCGCUUGCCUACAAUACAGGGAGCCCUGGGUUCAAUCCCCAACACUGCCU